UGGUUAAGUCCGCAACGAGCGCAACCCUACGUUAGUUGCUAACGCGUGAAGGCGAGCACUCUAGACGAACUGCCGUUGGACAAAACGGAGGAAGGUGGGGAUGACGUCAAAUCAUCAUGCCCCUUAUGUUCUGGGCUACACACGUGCUACAAUGGCCGGUACAGACGGACGCAAAGCCGCGAGGCGGAGCAAAUCCGAAAAAGCCGGUCUCAGUUCGGAUUGCAGGCUGCAAUUCGCCUGCAUGAAGUCGGAAUCGCUAGUAAUCGCAGGUCAGCAUACUGCGGUCGAAUACGUUCCCGGGCCUU
This 305-nucleotide ribosomal RNA is filed under the name uncultured Pelotomaculum sp. Its description in RNAcentral is "bacterial SSU rRNA". It matches the Rfam family "Bacterial small subunit ribosomal RNA", at positions 1077 to 1382 of the family's 1533-position model. The record is from RNAcentral. Lineage: Bacteria; Bacillati; Bacillota; Clostridia; Eubacteriales; Desulfotomaculaceae.